GACGAACGCUGGCGGCGUGCUUAACACAUGCAAGUCGAACGGAAGGCCCUGCUUUUGUGGGGUGCUCGAGUGGCGAACGGGUGAGUAGCACGUGAGUAACCUGCCCUUGACUUUGGGAUAACUUCAGGAAACUGGGGCUAAUACCGGAUAGGAGCUCCUGCUGCAUGGUGGGGGUUGGAAAGUUUCGGCGGUUGGGGAUGGACUCGCGGCUUAUCAGCUUGUUGGUGGGGUAGUGGCUUACCAAGGCUUUGACGGGUAGCCGGCCUGAGAGGGUGACCGGCCACAUUGGGACUGAGAUACGGCCCAGACUCCUACGGGAGGCAGCAGUGGGGAAUAUUGCACAAUGGGCGGAAGCCUGAUGCAGCAACGCCGCGUGCGGGAUGACGGCCUUCGGGUUGUAAACCGCUUUCGCCUGUGACGAAGCGUGAGUGACGGUAAUGGGUAAAGAAGCACCGGCUAACUACGUG
RNAcentral lists this ribosomal RNA (467 nucleotides) under uncultured bacterium. RNAcentral describes it as "partial 16S ribosomal RNA". It matches the Rfam family "Bacterial small subunit ribosomal RNA", at positions 28 to 507 of the family's 1533-position model. The record is from RNAcentral.